RNAcentral lists this ribosomal RNA (497 nucleotides) under uncultured bacterium. RNAcentral's name for it is "partial 16S ribosomal RNA". It matches the Rfam family "Bacterial small subunit ribosomal RNA", at positions 28 to 507 of the family's 1533-position model. The record is from RNAcentral.
GAUGAACGCUGGCGGCGUGCCUAAUACAUGCAAGUCGAGCGAACGGACGAGAAGCUUGCUUCUCUGAUUUUAGCGGCGGACGGGUGAGUAACACGUGGAUAACCUACCUAUAAGACUGGGAUAACUUCGGGAAACCGGAGCUAAUACCGGAUGAUAUUUUGAACCGCAUGGUUCAAAAGUGAAAGACGGUCUUGCUGUCACUUAUAGAUGGAUCCGCGCUGCAUUAGCUAGUUGGUAAGGUAAUGGCUUACCAAGGCAACGAUGCAUAGCCGACCUGAGAGGGUGAUCGGCCACACUGGAACUGAGACACGGUCCAGACUCCUACGGGAGGCAGCAGUAGGGAAUCUUCCGCAAUGGGCGAAAGCCUGACGGAGCAACGCCGCGUGAGUGAUGAAGGUCUUCGGAUCGUAAAACUCUGUUAUUAGGGAAGAACAUAUGUGUAAGUAACUGUGCACAUCUUGACGGUACCUAAUCAGAAAGCCACGGCUAACUACGUG